This 305-nucleotide ribosomal RNA is filed under the name uncultured bacterium. Its description in RNAcentral is "bacterial SSU rRNA". It matches the Rfam family "Bacterial small subunit ribosomal RNA", at positions 333 to 636 of the family's 1533-position model. The record is from RNAcentral.
UUUGUCCUACGGGACGCAGCAGUGAGGAAUAUUGGUCAAUGGUCGGGAGACUGAACCAGCCAAGCCGCGUGAGGGAUGAAGGUACAGAGUAUCGUAAACCUCUUUUGUCAGGGAACAAAGGCGGGGACGUGUCCCCGGAUGAGUGUACCUGAAGAAAAAGCAUCGGCUAACUCCGUGCCAGCAGCCGCGGUAAUACGGAGGAUGCGAGCGUUAUCCGGAUUUAUUGGGUUUAAAGGGUGCGUAGGCGGACAGUCAAGUCAGCGGUAAAAAUGCGGUGCUCAACGCCGUACAGCCGUUGAAACUGG